Myotis myotis is the source of this 892-nucleotide long non-coding RNA. RefSeq lists it as uncharacterized. The record is from RefSeq and is a predicted model, not a curated record. NCBI's taxonomy places the organism in Eukaryota, Metazoa, Chordata, Mammalia, Chiroptera, Vespertilionidae. The transcript has 3 exons.
CAGGAGGCCCCGGAGGCAGUGUACCUAGUGGACAUCUUCAGACCACAUUGAAGCACCAGCCAACCUCUCCCACAAGAGACACACUCAAGGGGUGGACUCAGCAGGCACCAGAGACCUUCUGAAGAACAAAGCACUUGAUGAAGUGCAAUGUGGAUCCCUUAAAAGAGGCAGAUGCAUGAAGUUUGGAGCAGUAAAUAAACUUGGAAUUUUGCAGUACAGAGAAAAAGGAGUAAAAGAGGAAGAGAAAAAGCAACAAAAGAAGAAAAAGUCAUUACCUAUAUGUGGAAUCUAAUGAACAAAAUAAACUCAUGAACAAAAUGGAACCAGAAGCAUGGACACAUGGAACAGACUGGCUGGUGCCCAAGCGGAGGGGGAUGUUACUAAAUAAAGAAGGUGAAGGGAUUAGCUAAAGAACAUAUAAUAUAUGUCAUAUAUGCAUACCCCAUGGACAUGGACAGUAAUGUGGGAAAGGCCAGGGGAGGGGGAGGCAGGAGUGGGUGGAGGUGGGCAAAGAGAACAAGUGGAAAGGGGAACACCUGCAAUAAGGUCAACAUUAAAAAUGUUUUAUAAUAAAAAGGAAGAAAAUUCUAGUAAAGGAAGCUGAAGAGAAAGAUGAAAAUUUGAAAAAGGAGGAACCAAUGCUCAUAAAAUAUUUUUAAAAUAUUCAAAAGCAAAUGACUAGAACUAGGCAACACAAAAGUGUCGCUUAUCUCUCAUCCUCUCUUUUUAUAUCUGCAUCCCCACUACCAUCCAUCUCUCCCUCUUCCAGCCUUUCUGACCAGGACAUUUUACAAAAGUCAAUAGUUUUGGGCAUGUUUUUUUCAAUAUACAUAUUAGAGCUAUUGCUUGUCAUUACAUGGGUGCCUCUAAUUAUUAUUAUUAUUUAAAAAAA